AUUAAAUCAUCCUUAUCUCAACCUGUGAGUUGUUCUUUCCUUUACUUCUUCCCCUCCUCAUCUAAGGAGGCGGAGUGAGAGAGCAGUUGUGGUGUUCAGCUGCCUAACAUGGUAAAACCACCACAACUUGAUCACACAUAGCAUGCACAGGCAAUUUGCAAGAAGGAGUUACAAAUUUGAGAGAAUACUUGCCUCCAAAAAUAGAAGCCUUGAGUAUCCAGAGAUCAUAGGAGAAAACAAACUGCCUGUGGUUAGCAUCUCCACAUUAAAACUCAAUCUGUGUUGGGAAGUGCCUAUCUUGGUCUUCAAGUAUUUCAAAGGUAAAAUAAGACCAGUGAAUGAAAGUAAACAAUUUCAGAGGAUAAUUUCACUUCAAGCAUUAUGA
RNAcentral lists this long non-coding RNA (385 nucleotides) under Anser brachyrhynchus (Pink-footed goose). RNAcentral describes it as "lncRNA (ENSABRG00000013382.1)". The record is from RNAcentral. Lineage: Eukaryota; Metazoa; Chordata; Aves; Anseriformes; Anatidae.